This 429-nucleotide ribosomal RNA is filed under the name Actinomycetes bacterium. RNAcentral's name for it is "Actinobacteria bacterium partial 16S ribosomal RNA". It matches the Rfam family "Bacterial small subunit ribosomal RNA", at positions 355 to 776 of the family's 1533-position model. The record is from RNAcentral. Lineage: Bacteria; Bacillati; Actinomycetota; Actinomycetes.
UAGGGAAUCUUCCGCAAUGGGCGAAAGCCUGACGGAGCAACGCCGCGUGAGUGAUGAAGGUCUUCGGAUCGUAAAACUCUGUUAUUAGGGAAGAACAAAUGUGUAAGUAACUAUGCACGUCUUGACGGUACCUAAUCAGAAAGCCACGGCUAACUACGUGCCAGCAGCCGCGGUAAUACGUAGGUGGCAAGCGUUAUCCGGAAUUAUUGGGCGUAAAGCGCGCGUAGGCGGUUUUUUAAGUCUGAUGUGAAAGCCCACGGCUCAACCGUGGAGGGUCAUUGGAAACUGGAAAACUUGAGUGCAGAAGAAGAAAGUGGAAUUCCAUGUGUAGCGGUGAAAUGCGCAGAGAAAUGGAGGAACACCAGUGGCGAAGGCGACUUUCUGGUCUGUAACUGACGCUGAUGUGCGAAAGCGUGGGGAUCAAACAGG